This 243-nucleotide long non-coding RNA is filed under the name Prunus persica (peach). Its description in RNAcentral is "long non-coding RNA (PPER_LNC003316)". The record is from RNAcentral. Lineage: Eukaryota; Viridiplantae; Streptophyta; Magnoliopsida; Rosales; Rosaceae.
AAAAAUCAUCAAAAUCGGAGUUAAAAUAACCGUUAAAUCGUGACUUUUCAUUUUAUAACCAUAAAAAAGUUUUGUUUCGUUUCUUCAUUUCUGAAUGUUUUUUUUUUUUUUUGAUUUCUGGCAUAUAUGAUCUCGAAGUAUAAAAAAACAAGUUUGCCGGUCGGAUCAUUGAAACUAGUUUAGGCUUUAGGGUUUAGGGUUUGCACGACGAAUAAACGCUUGUUUCGUCGCGCAAAGUGUACA